UACUCUUGACAUCCAGAGAACUUUGCAGAGAUGCAUCGGUGCCUUCGGGAACUCUGAGACAGGUGCUGCAUGGCUGUCGUCAGCUCGUGUUGUGAAAUGUUGGGUUAAGUCCCGCAACGAGCGCAACCCUUAUCCUUUGUUGCCAGCGGUUCGGCCGGGAACUCAAAGGAGACUGCCAGUGAUAAACUGGAGGAAGGUGGGGAUGACGUCAAGUCAUCAUGGCCCUUACGAGUAGGGCUACACACGUGCUACAAUGGCAUAUACAAAGAGAAGCGACCUCGCGAGAGCAAGCGGACCUCAUAAAGUAUGUCGUAGUCCGGAUCGGAGUCUGCAACUCGACUCCGUGAAGUCGGAAUCGCUAGUAAUCGUGGAUCAGAAUGCCACGGUGAAUACGUUCCCGGGCC
Molecule: ribosomal RNA, 404 nt
Filed under: uncultured bacterium
Lineage: Bacteria
Description: bacterial SSU rRNA
Rfam family: Bacterial small subunit ribosomal RNA
Source: RNAcentral